Non-coding RNA from Plectropomus leopardus (leopard coralgrouper), 402 nucleotides. Lineage: Eukaryota; Metazoa; Chordata; Actinopteri; Perciformes; Serranidae. The record is from the annotation of a RefSeq genome assembly.
CUCCUCUGCUGCUGCUUCACAGAGUCCAGAGGUCAGGUCACAGUGACUCAGCCUGGAGCAGUGAGAUCUGCUGUGGGAGGCUCCGUCUCCAUCACAUGUAGGACCAGUCCGGAUGUUUAUAGCUCUAACCUUUUAGCCUGGUACCAACAGAGAGACGGAGAAACUCCUAAACUCCUCAUUUACUAUGCCAGCACUCGAGCAUCAGGGAUCCCAGAUCGUUUUACGGGCAGAGGAUCAAACUCUGACUUCACUCUGACCAUCAGUGGAGUUCAGACUGAAGAUGCAGCAGUUUAUUACUGUCAGAGUUUUCAUGUCAUCAACAGUCAGUGGGUGUUCACACAGUGAAAAAGCGUCGUACAAAAACCUCCCUCAGUCAGACUGAACAGAAACUGAAGUGACAGC